This is a long non-coding RNA of Coregonus clupeaformis (lake whitefish), 759 nucleotides long. RefSeq lists it as uncharacterized. The record is from RefSeq and is a predicted model, not a curated record. The transcript has 2 exons. Lineage: Eukaryota; Metazoa; Chordata; Actinopteri; Salmoniformes; Salmonidae.
CAGCCCCUGUCCCAGCCUCUCUCCCUGCCUCUGUCCCAGCCCCUGUCCCAGCCUCUCUCCCUGCCUCUGUCCCAGCCCGAGUUCUUUCCCCUUCCGAAUAACUCAGUAGAACUUACCAAGCCAACACCCACUUCAAAGAAACCUUCCAUCUUCCAGAAAACAGGAAACCUGUUUAGUAAGUUCCGAAGAGGUGAGGCUGGAACAGGAAUCCUAAAUCCAGAAUGAGAAGAUUCUACCUGUCUGCAUACCUUAUCAUGUGAACUACUGUAUAUGCAGUUUACUCAGUUUCCUCAGGUGCAGUGAUUGAAGAACAACCCUUUUUGAAGAUAGCAACUUUAUUGUAAUAUUAAAAAUUGUUUUAUUCGAUUUUUUCUUAAUGUCUUGAUAAACUAUUUGAUUGCAAAAAAAACAUCUGGGUAAAUAACGAUUAAUAAUAUUAUUAUUAUUAACAUAAUUCCCUAAAUGUGCUAACUUAUGUCCUUUUACUUUCUUUAAGAAUGUGUAUUAUCUUUCUAUUUGAAAAAGCAGUCAUCUCUUACUGACCACUGCCGUGCUUGUAUGAAGAAUGGUGUCUAAACCAACGUACCAAUGCUUUGUCCAAAUGCCUUAAAACUGCUUGAAUAUGCAACAUGGUAAACAACCAAUCAACAUACAGCCGCCUAUUAGUCUUUACAUUGUUCCUUGUAUGUGAGUCUACUUACUUUACAUAGAUUUGGAUAUUUGUAACAUGUAUUGAGAUAAACAGACGUUUUAAAUUAA